RNAcentral lists this ribosomal RNA (253 nucleotides) under uncultured bacterium. RNAcentral's name for it is "partial 16S ribosomal RNA". It matches the Rfam family "Bacterial small subunit ribosomal RNA", at positions 524 to 776 of the family's 1533-position model. The record is from RNAcentral.
UACAGAGGGUGCGAGCGUUAAUCGGAAUUACUGGGCGUAAAGCGCACGUAGUCGGCUUUGCAAGUCGGGUGUGAAAUCCCCGGGCUCAACCUGGGAACUGCAUCCGAGACUGCAUUGCUAGAGUAUGGGAGAGGGAAGCGGAAUUUCUAGUGUAGCAGUGAAAUGCGUAGAUAUCGGGAGGAACACCUGUGGCGAAAGCGGCGCACUGGACCACAACUGACGCUGAGGCGCGAAAGCUAGGGGAGCAAACAGG